GGGUUGUGAGGUUAAGCGACCAAGCGUACACGGUGGAUGCCCUGGCAGUCAGAGGCGAUGAAGGACGUGCUAAUCUGCGAAAAGCGCCGGUAAGGUGAUAUGAACCGUUAUAACCGGCGAUGUCCGAAUGGGGAAACCCAGUGUGA
RNAcentral lists this ribosomal RNA (146 nucleotides) under Salmonella enterica. Its description in RNAcentral is "partial 23S ribosomal RNA". It matches the Rfam family "Bacterial large subunit ribosomal RNA", at positions 1 to 136 of the family's 2925-position model. Lineage: Bacteria; Pseudomonadati; Pseudomonadota; Gammaproteobacteria; Enterobacterales; Enterobacteriaceae. RNAcentral also lists the same sequence under 1 other name. The record is from RNAcentral.